UACAGAGGGUGCAAGCGUUAAUCGGAAUUACUGGGCUUAAAGCGUGCGUAGCCGGUUAUGUAAGUCGGGUGUGAAAGCCCCGGGCUCAACCUGGGAAUUGCAUUCGAGACUGCAUAGCUAGGAUGCGGAAGAGGGAAGCGGAAUUUCCGGUGUAGCGGUGAAAUGCGUAGAUAUCGGAAGGAACACCAGUGGCGAAAGCGGCUUCCUGGUCCAGCAUCGACGUUCAGGCACGAAAGCGUGGGGAGCAAACAGG
Molecule: ribosomal RNA, 253 nt
Filed under: uncultured bacterium
Lineage: Bacteria
Description: partial 16S ribosomal RNA
Rfam family: Bacterial small subunit ribosomal RNA
Source: RNAcentral